AGGUGGGGUAAAGGCCUACCUAGGCGACGAUCAGUAGUUGGUCUGAGAGGACGACCAGCCACAUUGGAACUGAGACACGGUCCAGACUCUUACGGGAGGCAGCAGUGAGGAAUUUUCUGCAAUGGGCGCAAGCCUGACAGAGCAAUACCGCGUGAGGGAUGACUGCCUACGGGUUGUAAACCUCUUUUCUCAAGGAGGAAGAUCUGACGUUACUUGAGGAAUAAGCAUCGGCUAACCCUGUGCCAGCAGCCGCGGUAAUACAGGGGAUGCAAGUGUUAUCCGGAAUUAUUGGGCGUAAAGCGUCUGCAGGUUGAUAUGUAAGUCUUUUGUUAAAACUUUGAGCUUAACUCAAAUUCCGCAAAAGAAACUAUUUAUCUUGAGUAUGG
This 386-nucleotide ribosomal RNA is filed under the name eukaryote SCGC AAA074-C15. RNAcentral's name for it is "bacterial SSU rRNA". It matches the Rfam family "Bacterial small subunit ribosomal RNA", at positions 250 to 651 of the family's 1533-position model. The record is from RNAcentral.